UCCUCGAUGGUCUAGUGGUAAUGAUUUCCGCUUGUCAGCUUAACAACUGCAAGCGCGGGAGACCUGGGUUCGAUUCCCAGUCGGGGAG
Molecule: transfer RNA, 88 nt
Organism: Aspergillus glaucus CBS 516.65
Lineage: Eukaryota; Fungi; Ascomycota; Eurotiomycetes; Eurotiales; Aspergillaceae
Rfam family: tRNA
About the family: Transfer RNA (tRNA) molecules are approximately 80 nucleotides in length.
Source: Rfam